AGCAUGGUAACCAUCUAAUUCUAACUAAUAUAAAUUAUAUCUCUGACUCUGUCAACCAUGAAAGACUGAGGAAACAUAACUGAGAUAUGCAAGUGCCUUGAGAAUCUAAACAGCUUGCCUUCCAUAAGGAUGAGUGGCAAUGGAAGCUUCCUGAUUGCUUGCAACCACACAGAUUGUCUGAAUCUUUCUGUAGUAAUCAAGGCUCAAAGCUUGGAAUUAAUCUGUGUUCAAUCCCAGAUCUACCUGUACCCAGGAACAGAUGAACAAACAUUUCUGGAAGCUUUUCCCUCAUUUUGAAGAGAAGAGCAGGUGUGGAGGUGUGCGCAUAAACAUUUGCCUCGGAGAAAGAAGUGUUUCCACCAGGAUGCUCUCAAGGAGGAUUAAAUAGUGGAAUGAACCCUCCAGCUUGGUGGAUGUGCUGGAGUGAAUCAGAAAGGGCAAGUUUCCUGAAGGCAUGGGUCACCAGCGUGGAAAGCUGUGCCACUGCAUGCGUGCCCCUCUCUGUCGGUCGGCACGAGGUCCCUGCAGGUGACUGCUCUCUGUGCACCUGGGAACAGCAGCUGCAAACCCGUGCGGGUGCCUGCCAUCACACAACAUCCCUCCCAUGUGAAGUAAUGCCCUCCUCAUCCCGCAAAGGUAAGCUGAGGCAAAGAUGAACGACGGGCUUGCGUGUAUGAGAACGAUUACAGAUUUAGUUUCAUUUUUAGAUGGCAUUUUAUGUGAAACCUCCGCUGUGUAGAGGUAGUUGCAAAUAACCUGUGUUUGGGUAAGGAACAAAAAUUAUUAUAUAUAUUAAAAUUCACAUUCCUAAUGAAUGUAAUUAAACCGAAGUGUUUUUUUUUGUUUGUUUGUUUUUGUUUGUUUGUUUGUUUGUUUUUCCUAACGUGUCUCAAUCUGACGUGACUGCUCAGAGGCAGCAAAGAGAACAGAUACCCAAAUGACAUUCCAGAACCUCUUUUCCAGCUACAGGAGUACACCCCCUCCAUUUUCCUCUGCAUCAGAAAUGCCCCAAAAUGAAGGGAGACGUCCAGACGUCACACAGUACAGCAGAGCUCCAUUAAAGCCAAUGCACUUCUUCCUAUUUACAGUAGCCAAAGGGUUCAUCCCUAAUUUCUUUCUGCAGAAUAAUGUGCAAAGCAGAUUUCAGAUGUUUAUUACAAAGCCACGGGUAGGUUGCAGGUUAAUGUACUGCCUAGAGAUGCUCCCAAAGCGUGAAAGAAUGACCAGGAGAGAAAAGGUCAUCUCGCAGGUAUUGCCUAAUUUGCUAUUUCCUCUCUAAAUUGACUUCUGCACUUUUUUUUGCAGCGAACAUAGGUACCUCAUGGCACGAUUGUAUUAUUCCUAAAAUGGGUUGCUAAUGCUUGAGAAAUACUGUUAACAAAAAGAGUAGUCAGGUAAAAUGCUUGUAAUUAUCACUAAAAUUAGUACCCUUUAAAGAGUGUGUUUACAUGACCCAUCAACAGAUCGGUUAAGUACUUUCAGUACAUUUUAUUUGUAUCUGGCAGAACAAUUUCCUUGCUCAAGUACACCAAUGAGUGGGAGAGACUACAGUUAUAACAAAGUAAAUUAGAAAGAAAGUGUUUGGGGAGUUUGGAUUUUUUUUCCCCCUGUACUUUGUGUAAGGUUUGAAAAGGAAAGCAAGUUUCAAUCCCAAAUUCCAAAAGGCCUCACUUGCUCUACACUAAGUGCCCUUGUCUGCUAAACCACGAGCCUCUACAGGUCUGAAAGAGCGGGAGCUUAAACCAGACAAGCAGUGUAAAGUCCAGUGCGUUCCACAUUUUCACUACAGACUUUCCUGCAGUUUCUGAAGGUUUUGGAGUAAAGUGCUGGCUUUAUUACAAUUCACAGUAAAAUGACCAUAGGCUUCAUAACAGCGCACAUUUAAUCUCAAAAUUUAUUUUUUAAAAAUAAAAAAAUAGCACAUAGGGAAUAUAUGAGAUUUAAUUCUACCAAAAAAGCAAUUAAAUGAAGAAAAUAGUUUAAUAAAUGAAUUUACCAAAGUAAAACUAGACAUGCAUGAGCGUACAUGAAAAGAGUUGUGUUUUUUUUUUUUUUUUCCUUUUUUUCCCUAAAAUGUCUGCACACAAAGUUACCAUUAAAGUAAAAUGUGACAUGGGCAAAUCUUGUCAAUGAGGUGUUUGAAAGUAUUUCCAUUUGUAUUUACAUUUUUGUUUACAUUUACGAUUUAGGGUUUAGUUUUUUUCCCGUCAGCUCGGUCAAGCCAAAAACUCUCAUUUCCUCUGUAAGAAGGACGUAUAGUUGCUGAAUAAUUUAUCCUGUAGUCAUAAGAUGAUUCACUGGAGCUGGUGCUUCGCACCCCCCGAAUCUGAAUGCUUUCUGUAUUAAUAAUGCAUUCACCCUCCCCAUCCCCAGCACAGGCCGGAGCAAAGCCCUGCCCCGGGGCUGGAGUGAGCCCCAGCAGCAGCAGCCAGAGGGGUACGAGGGUUUUGGGCAGGGGCUGGGGCAGAUGACCCCCUGACCCCCUUUCAUCCCAACUUUUGGGCGACCCUGUCGCUCUGCAUUCACACGCCAGCUCUGCCGGAGCAAGGGAGGUGGGGCAAGAGCAGUGCCUCUGCCAAAACCAGGAUAUCCUCAGAGGCCUCAUUUCUGAGAUUCUUACGUGAUGGCAAAGUAUUUGUUUUACCUCGCCCUAAGAGUCUGCUAAAAGGCAAAACCAUCCUAGGGAAAGGCGGGAGUUCAACGCUUCCAACAACAAUAAGAAAAGGAGAAUGUUUGUUUAGAAAUUUGAGCAUGAUUUUAAUGGCCUAGUAUUAAUCAGGCAGGUUUGAAAAUGCUGGUCGAAUUAUAAAUAGAGCUGAGAAGCAGCGCGUACAAAAAUACAGUUGUAUUUGUAUUAUAAAUUUUAUAUAAAUAGAAAAAAAAGAAAGACCCUGAAAUGUCUCAGGCUUGAAUUCCAGCCGCUCUGUUAACGUGAAGCCUGUUCUUUCGCCUGUUAUUUUUCAUUCCUGCGUCUGUGAAACUUGGGCUGGGAAUGGCCACCUCUCUCACGCUGCUGACUCCUCGCUGCCCAGCCUUUGCCGGCCCGUAGCUGCUCGUGUGCUCUGUGCAAGAGAGAUCGGGACCAGGCUCAGCAGUCCUAACUGCAGCCUGCCCCUUCCCAUGCUAAAGUCUAGCGCAGGAUCAUGAACAGGUGGGUUCCUGCUGAGGUGUUUGGGUUCGGCAUGGCUGCAGCUGCCUGUCCAAAUAUAGUGUCUGGUUAAACUUUCGAGGCGUCCCUUCCUAGCCUGUGCUUGCAGGUGUGCAGCAGCUCAGAUCCGCCGCUAGUCCGGCACGGUGUGAGCUCUGUUGUUUACUUGUCACUUCCUAGCCAUCUUCCAGCUUGUCUUUUUCCUCUUUCCCACCCCCUUGCUGCUAAUAUUCUAUUUUCUGCUCCUGUGUUCUUCCUACGGUGCCUUGACGUUUGCAUACUUAUUCCCUAAACAGCAUGUCCCCAUUAAAAAUAAAGGACCGCAUCGCAUUGAUCGUGAUGCUGAAAUCGCUUAGAGCUGGAUUGUUCUGCAGCUGCUAGAGGCAGCAGCACUGCCACAGAUGGGAUGCCUGGUGCUGGGCUCUCAGGGACGUGGCUGGUGCUGGUCUUCUCCUCGCUUCUGGGUGAAGUGCCUGGCCACCAGCAGACAUCGUUGCUCUGACUUUGAUAAAGGCCCGUCUGGAUCUGCAUAAGCUUUGGCAAAAAAAAUGUAGUUCAGCUCACAGAAAUUGUUUCUUACUUCUGGGAAGUUUCUUACUCCAACAGGUAGUGAAGCAAAUAUUGUCCUGGAUUGGAAAUUAAAUUUUCAGCCUUCUGUAAGAAUAUUCCAACUGGCGUGUUCUGACUAGGGAAAGAGGAAAACCUUCUAUACAGUGGGUCAUAAUAACAUAUAGCAUCUUUCCCCUGUGCUUUGCCUCCUUCCAGCCAUUUCAAAGAACAAGGCUGUAGAUUCAAUCGCAAUCGCUCCUUGCCCUCCCUAUCACUAUCCUAACCCUUUCCUGACUUACUUUUCUCACGGCGGGGGCAUCAGCUCCAGCUUUCCUACACACACAAACAGAUGGAUUCAAGAUGUGGGCUGGCCUUGCAGAAGGAGAUUUUGCAUUUUUUACUUUCCCUGAACCUGAAUAAGCAAUUGUCACAAUCCAAGCUAUUGUGCUAAAUUAAAAAAAAAAAAUGAGGGUUAUAAAAUGGGAGAAUGUGUACGGGUGGCAAAACUGGGUGCUAUGUAAAUGUUGUGCAGAGCAAGAAUAUGCUUAUUAAAUAGGCAACAGAGAAUUAGAGGAAACUAUUUCAGUUUACAUUCAAGUAUAUUAUGGGACUGUUUAUAGGGCCCAAAAGAACUUCCCAAGCAUUAACACAUGUAGCCUGAGAAGCAGAGGUGGUAGAAUCUAUAUAAAGGUGAAUAGACAUGUAAAACCAGAAUAACUUGUUAGCAUUUAUGUUGUUGCUGCCUUGAGGCCAUGGCAGCUAUUUCACCCACCUUUCAGAAACUCAUUCAGCAUUUUUUUCUAUGGGGAGGAUUAAAAGACAGCAUUUUUUUUAAGGUCAGGGAAAAAUGUCACUGAUAAAUCAAGCUAAUCUUAUCCUAUUCUUUCAGAAUAACGAAGGACACAUGUGAGAACCCUAUAGAAAAUGGUACUGUUACUAAUAAUGGAUUAUGAAAGAAGGAGGGGAAGGUUAAGUUUAUGUUCUUUUGCCUUCUCAUUAAUUAUAAAGAUCAGAUGAUGUAUAUAUCUCUGAAAAGUAAGAGAGAGAAGUUUCCCGUUUGUGUUGUGGUAGAAAUUUAUCUCAUAUCACCCUUUUCUGGGUAAUUCCUCACAGUCUCCAGGCUUCUAGACAAAGGAGAUCAGGCGAGAAUAAUGACAUCAGAAAAACCUAUGCAAAUAAAUCCUGAGUAAUGAGAGGAAGGUGAGUUUUAUUCACACUGUUUGGUUUUGAUUUUAGCUCAAGUACUGAAAAACACUCAGGAGAAAAUUUCUCUCUCUCUCUUUCUUCAGGGCAGAAAAGUUCAAAGCGAGCAUGUGAGGUCUCCAAUGACUCCUCAAGCAAAGUUAUGAGAGAAUUAGCCUUCCCGGUAGCUUAAAGGUUAAAAAAACAAGAAGAAAAUCCCUUCCUCUGACACAUUUUAUCAUGCAUUUAACCUUCUUUAUAAAUUACUGAGAAAUGUGCCAAUUAAUAGUUUAUCUUUUAAAACAUUCUAAUCUACAUUUCUGAACAAAUAGAGAAACGGAUGGGCAUUCAGCCAUCUUUUUAUUACUUUUUUUCCCACAUUAGGGAGUGAUAUACAUUUCCAUGAGCCAUAACAAAUGGUCCCAUUUGCUAUGGGAUUUGCUCUCAGCUGGGACAGAGACUGGCGUUUCUUCACGACCAAAAAGAUGUGUUUUUAAAGCAGGGGAAAAAAUAUGAAUUACUAUCCAGCUCUAAAGUCCCUGUAGUGUCAAAUACAGUUUUUACUACACUGUACCUCAGUGAGGCCAGCAAUGAACUUUACAAUGAGGGGUAGCCUUGCUUAAGCACUUUAGGUAAAGCCAAGAGAGAUUUCUUUCCUGGAGGGUUUUAAUGAAAGAAAAAACAACAAGCAAACAAACAAACCGAACAAACAAAAAAACCCCUCCCCCACAUAUCUCUGUUGACUCAUCCUGUACACUGCUGCAUCUUGGCUCUCAUGAUGUCCCCAUUGAAUGAAUUCUGUCAUUUUAAAGUGAGGCCAGCUUUUCAACAAGUGUACAUUGCUAUGAAUCCCCUGCAGUCCGUGGAGUUAUGGCACUUAGAGUAGUUGAAACUUUGACCUUUUAAACUUUUGCUUUUUUUUCUGUCUAUAUCAUUGCUUUCCCCUUUUUAACUGUCUAUGGAAACACAAUAAAAUUAUUUUUAUAGCAUUUAAUUAAUGUUUAAAGUGACAUCCCACCGAAAAAGCCUGCACAUUCAGGAUUUAUUCACCAUUUAGGGUUUAUUUUAUCAUUAUGCCUUAAUGGCUACUAGAACUUAGUCUAUACCUUGAAAGGACACACCUAUGAAAUUAAAAUGGCAAACCCUGUAGCUGGAGGUGUUCCUUGUGCCAUAGAAAGGGUUCUGUUUUAAUACAUUUAAAUAAGCUCUCCAAACCAAGAUGUGUAGGUAAAAGGCAUGCAUUUUGCUAGAAUGACUGCAUCUGUGUCUGAGUUUUGCUAGCUGUAUCAGUUGAAGGUAAACUAGCAAAAUGUUUUAACGUAAAUCAGCCUCUUGCUUCAAUCUUAAAACAAAACCUCCAUAUGACUUUUAAACUUGAAUAAAAUGGAAGAGG
This is a long non-coding RNA of Cygnus olor (mute swan), 6272 nucleotides long. RefSeq lists it as uncharacterized. The transcript has 4 exons. The record is from RefSeq and is a predicted model, not a curated record. Lineage: Eukaryota; Metazoa; Chordata; Aves; Anseriformes; Anatidae.